This 241-nucleotide unclassified non-coding RNA is filed under the name Hevea brasiliensis (rubber tree). Lineage: Eukaryota; Viridiplantae; Streptophyta; Magnoliopsida; Malpighiales; Euphorbiaceae. The record is from RNAcentral.
AUGGGCAGCCAUGAUCUGCAGGUGUCAAGUUGGGUUCAUAAAUUGUGAAGUCAGCAGGAUGAGAACCGCCAGCACAUGAAACUGGUGAUAAGCUACUGUUUGGUGUAUUUGAAUCAAUUGAACCAAAAGCAUCUGAACCAACUGCAGACAAUACUGAUGUUGGAGAUUGGUUUUCUUGUUCUGAAAUUGAAAAGUUUGGGGAUGAAGACUGCAGUGGCUGCUCUGGAAUUGAGGGUUCUUU